This 442-nucleotide ribosomal RNA is filed under the name uncultured bacterium. RNAcentral's name for it is "partial 16S ribosomal RNA". It matches the Rfam family "Bacterial small subunit ribosomal RNA", at positions 338 to 795 of the family's 1533-position model. The record is from RNAcentral.
CCUACGGGAGGCAGCAGUGGGGAAUAUUGGGCAAUGGGCGCAAGCCUGACCCAGCAACGCCGCGUGAAGGAAGAAGGCUUUCGGGUUGUAAACUUCUUUUCGCAGGGACGAAGAAAGUGACGGUACCUGAGGAAUAAGCCACGGAUAACUACGUGCCAGCAGCCGCGGUAAUACGUAGGUGGCGAGCGUUAUCGGGAAUGAUUGGGCGUAAAGGGUGCGUAGGCGGCCUGCUAAGUCUGGAGUGAAAGGUACGGGAUCAAACGGUACAGGCUCUGGAAACUGGCGGGCUAGAGAGCAGGAGAGGGCGGUGGAACUCCAUGUGUAGCGGUAAAAUGCGUAGAUAUAUGGAAGAACACCAGUGGCGAAGGCGGCCGCCUGGCCUGUUACUGACGCUGAGGCACGAAAGCGUGGGGAGCAAAUAGGAUUAGAUACCCUUGUAGUC